RNAcentral lists this ribosomal RNA (450 nucleotides) under uncultured bacterium. RNAcentral's name for it is "partial 16S ribosomal RNA". It matches the Rfam family "Bacterial small subunit ribosomal RNA", at positions 354 to 796 of the family's 1533-position model. The record is from RNAcentral.
GUGGGGAAUAUUGGACAAUGGGCGAAAGCCUGAUCCAGCCAUGCCGCGUGUGUGAAGAAGGUCUUCGGAUUGUAAAGCACUUUAAGUUGGGAGGAAGGGCAGUAAGUUAAUACCUUGCUGUUUUGACGUUACCGACAGAAUAAGCACCGGCUAACUUCGUGCCAGCAGCCGCGGUAAUACGAAGGGUGCAAGCGUUAAUCGGAAUUACUGGGCGUAAAGCGCGCGUAGGUGGUUUUGUAAGUUGGAGGUGAAAUCCCCGGGCUCAACCUGGGAACUGCCUCAAAAACUGCAUGACUAGAGUACGGUAGAGGGUAGUGGAAUUUCCUGUGUAGCGGUGAAAUGCGUAGAUAUAGGAAGGAACACCAGUGGCGAAGGCGACUACCUGGACUGAUACUGACACUGAGGUGCGAAAGCGUGGGGAGCAAACAGGAUUAGAAACCCCAGUAGUCC